GAUGAACGCUGGCGGCGUGCUUAACACAUGCAAGUCGAACGGAAAGGCCCAAGCUUGCUUGGGUACUCGAGUGGCGAACGGGUGAGUAACACGUGGGUGAUCUGCCCUGCACUUCGGGAUAAGCCUGGGAAACUGGGUCUAAUACCGGAUAGGACCACAUUUUGGAUGGUGUGGUGGAAAGUUUUUCGGUGUGGGAUGAGCUCGCGGCCUAUCAGCUUGUUGGUGGGGUAAUGGCCUACCAAGGCGUCGACGGGUAGCCGGCCUGAGAGGGUGUACGGCCACAUUGGGAAUGGGAAACGGCCCCAACCCCCACGGGGGGGAGCAGUGGGGAAGAUUACAAAAUGGGCCAAACCCUGAUACACGGAAGGCGGGGGGGGGGUGGGGGCCUUCGGGUUGAAACCUCCUUUCGCCGGGGACAAGACGUUUUUGUGACGGAACCUGGAAAAAAAGCACCGGCUAACUACGU
This 466-nucleotide ribosomal RNA is filed under the name uncultured bacterium. Its description in RNAcentral is "partial 16S ribosomal RNA". It matches the Rfam family "Bacterial small subunit ribosomal RNA", at positions 28 to 506 of the family's 1533-position model. The record is from RNAcentral.